ACUUCAUUAUUUUUUGUUUAACACACAGCACACAACUUUUAUUUCUAUCGAAUUCAAUCAAAUUCUCCGCACCAGACCAAGACGCAAUCCGGCGACUCUCCCUCUUCCUCGCCGCAAUCCGGCCACUCUCAUCUUUCCCCGCCACAAUCCAGCCCCAAGUCGGCGCCGCUGCCCCAUCUCCACACCAGAUUCCUCCACGCCGCGAUCCAUGGCCGCAUUUUCUUCCGACACCAGUUUCUCGCUGCCUCAAUCUCCUCUGUAUACUUAUCCCAUCUCCACACCAGUCUUCGCCGUCAGAGACAGCGGAUGGCGGCGUUUGGCUGCCCAAGCCCCAAUUUCGUCCCCAAAUCCAUCCCUUCUCCCAUCGUAGAUGGUCCGUUGCAACUUGAUUAUUCAUAGGAAUUUGAAGCCAUCCCAUCAGCUUAUUUCUGCAGAUGGAAUCCUCAAAAUCGUCGAUUUUGGCUAGUGUCUCGCCAAUGGCUGCCGCCGAUGCCCAACUUCUCCGAUCACCCAUCCUUUGCUCUCUCCCAGUUCGCCGCUAUCCUUAGCAGAUACACCACCCAUGGUAAGUAUUAUAUUAGGAAAGAUUACGUUUUGACUCUAAAUAUAGAAGCCGCUAGCAUUAGCAGAUACGCCAGCCAUGGUAAGUAUUCUAUUAGGAAAGAUUACGUUUUGACUGUAAAUGAUAGCAUAUAUGCCAUCCAUGGUAAGUAUUCUAUUAGGAAAGAUUACGUUUUGACUCUAAAUAUAGAAUGAUGUUGGUCAAUUUUAUAAAAGAACAAAAUUUGGAAAGAAUUGAAAUAUAUACAAUCAUAGGAUGUAUAUUGGUUAUAUAGGUUUAAGAUUUAUUGAAUUGUUAGUGGUUUAAUUAUUUUCUUUCUCUAUAGUGUAGUGGUUGAUAGUGUUGGUUGAUGAUGGUGAAAGAUAAGGUCUUAUCUUGAAGUAUAAGAACGGACCUUUUCCAGAAAUUUGAGAAAAUUUCUUAUUAUUUUAGUACGAACCCAAAAAACAAUUCAGUUUUACAAAAUCGCCGCUCACUGGGUGUUAGGGACUGCCAGUCUACCAUUAUGAGCAUAGAUUUUGAUGUGGAUGAUGAGUCGGGUGGCCGUGGGUGCUGCUGUACCGAGUCAAGAGAAGGGGGGAAGCUUUGGUGUGGUGUGUGUGUUGUUGGCCGAGUAGUUGAAUCAGGGGCAGAGGGCGAAGAUGCUGGCAGCGUAGGGCUGCUGCUAUUGGCCAGAGUGAGCAGAGGAUAGAGGGAGAAGAAGGUGAGAGGAAGAAAGAGAUGUGUGGUUCCACCAUUUUAGGUUUAAGGAUUUCAAAGGAUUUUGUAUAUUUUACUUUAUUGAUUUGUGGAAAUUUGAGUUGUUGUUGCUGCUGCUAGAAGUUGUGUUUUGUUAUUUGUAGUUGGGUAUUUAAGUUUAUGAGUUGUUAUUGCAAGUGUUAAUUCUUAAGUAUAUGUAGUUAAUGGGGAGUGAUUUUUCUUUAUGAA
Molecule: long non-coding RNA, 1489 nt
Organism: Salvia miltiorrhiza (redroot sage)
Lineage: Eukaryota; Viridiplantae; Streptophyta; Magnoliopsida; Lamiales; Lamiaceae
Exons: 3
Source: RefSeq, a predicted model, not a curated record